CCUGGGUGGAGGUGCCGCGUGAUUUCCUCACGAUGGGCGUGUUGGGAUCCCUAAGGAGCAGGUGGGUAAAGUCUGGCUCCUGCAGCACCUGCCUGCUCUCGUUAACCGCCCCGCUGCAGCAGGGAGAGGAGGUGGAGGAACAGAUGGAGAGAGGGAAGACAGAGGGGUGGGAGAAGAUGGAGGAGUGUGUGGAGCAGGCAGUGGGAGACGAGGUUAAUGUUCUGAGUUAGGAAGGGAGGUGGGGGUGAGUGCAGAGAAGGUCUGUGUUCACCACAAACCCACACAGAGCCUCAGGUCCAUCCUGAACCAGCGAGAGCA
Thalassophryne amazonica is the source of this 318-nucleotide long non-coding RNA. RefSeq lists it as uncharacterized. The record is from RefSeq and is a predicted model, not a curated record. The transcript has 2 exons. Lineage: Eukaryota; Metazoa; Chordata; Actinopteri; Batrachoidiformes; Batrachoididae.